AAGUCGUAACAAGGUUUCCGUAGGUGAACCUGCGGAAGGAUCAUUAAAAGAUUUUUGGUAUAAUUUUUUGUGGUCAAUUGAUCUCAAAAAAUAAUUCACCUUUUGUGCAUUGUUAUUAAGAUAUACUUUGGUUAGAGCUUUGACAUUAAGUCAACUUCUUGCUAACUCUAUCCUUAUUGUAAGGACAGUUGGCUAUGAAGCGUGCCUACCAAGGUUUUUUUUAUCAAACUCUUUGUAUUUUGUCUGACCUAAAUAAAAUAAUAAUUAAAUCAUAACUUUCAACAACGGAUCUCUUGGCUCUC
Molecule: unclassified non-coding RNA, 302 nt
Filed under: fungal sp.
Lineage: Eukaryota; Fungi
Description: partial internal transcribed spacer region
Rfam family: Eukaryotic small subunit ribosomal RNA (bases 1-46)
Source: RNAcentral